CGGACGGGUGAGUAACGCGUGAGAAUCUACCUUCAGGUUCGGGACAACCACUGGAAACGGUGGCUAAUACCGAAUGUGCCGAGAGGUGAAAGGCUUGCUGCCUGAAGAAGAGCUUGCGUCUGAUUAGCUAGUUGGUGUGGUAAAGGCGCACCAAGGCGACGAUCAGUAGCUGGUCUGAGAGGAUGAUCAGCCACACUGGGACUGAGACACGGCCCAGACUCCUACGGGAGGCAGCAGUGGGGAAUUUUCCGCAAUGGGCGAAAGCCUGACGGAGCAAUACCGCGUGAGGGAGGAAGGCUCUUGGGUUGUAAACCUCUUUUCUCAGGGAAGAAAAAAAUGACGGUACCUGAGGAAUAAGCAUCGGCUAACUCCGUGCCAGCAGCCGCGGUAAUACGGAGGAUGCAAGCGUUAUCCGGAAUGAUUGGGCGUAAAGGGUCCGCAGGUGGCAUUGUUUGUCUGCUGUUAAAGAGUCUGGCUCAACCAGAUCAAAGCAGUGGAAACUACAAAGCUAGAGUAUGGUCGGGGCAGAGGGAAUUCCUGGUGUAGCGGUGAAAUGCGUAGAUAUCAGGAAGAACACCGGUGGCGAAGGCGCUCUGCUAGGCCAAAACUGACACUGAGGGACGAAAGCUAGGGGAGCGAAUGGGAUUAGAUACCCCAGUAGUCC
Molecule: ribosomal RNA, 664 nt
Filed under: uncultured Dolichospermum sp.
Lineage: Bacteria; Bacillati; Cyanobacteriota; Cyanophyceae; Nostocales; Aphanizomenonaceae
Description: bacterial SSU rRNA
Rfam family: Bacterial small subunit ribosomal RNA
Source: RNAcentral